Molecule: long non-coding RNA, 4706 nt
Filed under: Salvia miltiorrhiza (redroot sage)
Lineage: Eukaryota; Viridiplantae; Streptophyta; Magnoliopsida; Lamiales; Lamiaceae
Description: long non-coding RNA (SMIL_LNC007829)
Source: RNAcentral
UCCGGCUACUAUCCUCCAACUUCAGCCACGUGUAUCCAUAAUUGAUUCCUCCCUCUUUACCAAAUUUCCGAUUUCAGUUACGAGCCCUAGCUUGGCAAGAUUGUUUCUUUCACCUCCCUCAAGCUCGAUGCUCUGAUUCAUUACAAUACCCCCUCCCAAAGGGAAUCCUUGUCCGCAAAGAUUAAAAGACGGAAACUUGUGGUGUAUGAACUUCACAUCUUCCCAGGUUGCACGGUCGGCGCCUCUGUUAACCCACUAUACCAAGACUUGAGAAACUAACUGCCCCUUCCGUUCGACAGACCGGUGGUCUAAAACAGUAGAAGGUUCGACCGUAUAGGAGCCAUCAUCAUCUAUAACAGGCAGAGUAGAUUCAGGUACAACCUUCUCUCCUACACAUUUCUUGAGUAAGGAUACAUGAAAAACAUGAUGUAUCUUCGAGGAGUCCGGCAGAUCUAACUUGUAAGCUACAUUCCCUAUUUUUUCAAGAAUAGUGUAGGGGCCGUAGUAUCGAGCUGACAACUUCAAAUUCCUUCGUAAGGAAACCGAAUUCUGACGAAAAGGUUGGAGUUUGAGGUACACUCGAUGCCCAAUCUGAAAGACCCUUUCUUGACGGUACGUGUCAGCGUAGAAUUUCAUCCGACUCUGUGACCCUUUCCUCUAGUACCUCUUUAGCUUCGAAAGUGACCAUAUCCAAGUAAGGUCCAAGACCCAAUUGAGUAGGAGGGAAACCAUAAAGAGCCUGAAAUGGUGUGCACUUCAAACUACUAUGAUAAUUGGUAUUAUACCAAUAUUCGGCUAGAGAUAACCACUUUGCCCACUGCUUAGGCGUAGAGCUAGCCAUGCACAUCAAGUAUGCCUCCAAACACUGGUUGAGCCUCUCCGUUUGUCCAUCGGUCUGUGGGUGAUAAGCCGAGAACAUAUCUAGGGAAGUCCCCAUUAAUUUGAAAAGUUCCUUCCAAAAAUUGCUAGUAAAUACCUUAUCACGGUCCGAAACUAUACUCACAGGUGGACCAUGUAGUUUAUAGAUAGUAUCAAGGAAGAGUUUGGCCACUGACUGCGCUGCGUAGGGGUGAGAUAGGGCUAUAAAAUGCCCAUACUUCGUAAACCUAUCCACAACCACCAAAUGACAUCCUUACCUGUUGUCGCAGCCCGCAGACCCGACACUAGUAAUAGUGGGGUACGAGUAUCGAUACGACUAUUUUUAAAGAAUAAAAGAUAAGAAGAACUAGGUGAACGUCAUGCGGAAGCUCACGUAAAAGCAUGCUAAGGAAAAACUUCAUAAAACUAGCCCAAGGGUAAAAUCGUCAACAUUGUCAUAACUUUUUAAUUAUUAGGAAUUUCACGAACAAAAACAAAACGCGUAUAGUUCAUUUUUCAUAAGGAAGCAAAAUUUGCAGAGUAUCGCAGCAAAAGGCGAACCGAUUAUAUGUAUGAAGACACAUAACCGUGAGUGUAUUGCUUGAUCUCAAAAGAAACUAAGUAAUUCNCAAACACUGGUUGAGCCUCUCCAUUUGUCCAUCGGUCUCUGGGUUAUAAGCCGAGGACAUAUCUAGGGAAGUCCCCAUUAACUUGAAAAGUUCCUUCCAAAAAUUGCUAGUAAAUACCUUAUCACGGUCCGAAACUAUACUCACAGGUGGACCAUGUAAUUUAUAGAUAGUAUCGAGGAAGAGUUUGGCCACUGACUGAGCUGUGUAGGGGUGAGAUAGGGCUAUAAAAUGCCCAUACUUCAUAAACAUGUCCACCAACCACCAAAAUGACAUCCUUACCUGUAGACUUUGGUAGUCCCUCAACAAAAUCUAAAGAAAUGUGAGUCCAAGCUUGAUGUGGAAUGGGUAGGGGUUGUAGCAACCUCGGAUAAAGACCUCCAUCCCCUUUGUGCCGCUGACAAACAUCACACUCCUUAACAAAAUUGAUAACAUCACUCUUCAUUUUAGGCUAGUGAAAAUAACUCUUGAGCCGCAUAUAUGUACCUUGCACCCCCGAAUGCCCCCCAAAAGGGGUAUUGUGUACUUCAUUGAGUAAAUUAGCCCAUAAAGUUGAAUCUGAACCAACCACCAACCUUCCCUUAUAUCGAAGAAUGUCACUUGCCAAGUGGUACUCCUCAUAAGCACUGUUGUCAAUUAACUUGGCUGCUAAUAUCUUAGUGAUAUAUGUGUCUGCUUGAUAACUCUUGAGUAAUUCUCUGGGUCCACUUAGGCACAGCUGUGGCUAUAGCUGAACAUUCCAUAUUUGUAACUCCAUACCUUGAGAGGGCGUCAGCAGCCUUGAUCUCCACCCCUUUUUCGUAGUGAAUAUCAUAAGUUAGCCCCAACAACUUAGUUAACCACCUUUGCUGGACGGGAUUGAUGGUUUUCUGGUCAAGCAAAUGUUUUAAUGCUUGUUGAUCUAGUUUGAUAAUAAAAUGAUGCCAUUUUCACUUUUGAACAGCCAUAACCACUGCAAGAAAUCCCUUUUCAUAUAUAGAAAGUGCUUGAUUCAUUGGGCAUAAUAUUUUGCUCAUAUAAGCAAUAGGUCGUUGCUCCUGCAUCAGCACUGCCCCAACUCCAUACCUACUAGCAUCAGUUCAAGCACAAAGGGUUUGGUGAAUUUUGGAAGAGCUAAAAUAGGGGCUGAGGCCAUGGCAUCCUUGAGCUGGUUAAAUGCUGCUUCUGCCUCAAGAUUCCAAUUAAAGUUGUCCUUCUUUAGUAAUGUAGUGAGGGGCCUACUGAUCAUUCCAUACCCACUUAUGAAUUUUCUAUAAUACCCAGUCAACCCUAGGAAGCCUCUCAAUUGUUUCACUGUUUUUGGAGUGGGCCACUGUUUCAUGCAAGAAAUCUUUUCUGGAUCAGUGGAUACUCCUAAAGGUGUAAUAACAUGACCCAAGUACUCAAUCUUCUAUUGACCAAACUAACACUUACUCCUCUUAGCAUAGAGGGUGUGCUGCCUUAGGAGAUCCAACACCUCCCUAAGAUGUAUCAAGUGGUCCUCCCAGCUUUUACUAUAGACCAGAAUAUCAUCAAAAAACACAAGGACUAAUUUCCUUAGGUGUUCCUGAAACACCCUAUUCAUGAGAGGUUGGAAUGUGGCAGGGGCGUUGCAAAGGCCAAAGGGCAUUACCAGAAAUUCAUAGUGCCAUUGAUGUAUGCUGAAUGCAGUAAGAUGCCUAUCAGAAGAAGUAACCAAGAUCUGGAAAUAGCUAGACCUCAAGUCCAACUUAGAGAAAUAUUAUGCUCCGAAUAACUCAUCUAACAAUUCAUCUAUAAGAGGUAUAGGGUAGUCAUGCUUGACUGUAAGUGAGCUUAGGUACCUGUAGUCUACACACAAUCUCUAGGUAUUAUCCUUCUUUUUUACCAAAAUAACCAGAGCUGCAAACGAACUCCUGCUGUGUUGUAUGAUGCCCUUCUUCAACAUGUUACUGAUUAUUUUUUCAAUUUCAUCCUUGUGGCUAUGUGAUGUCCUGUAUGGGUGUUGUUGCCUUGGUAUACUGUUUCGCUUUAACAUGAUCUGGUGCUCUACUCCUCGAGCAGGUGGAAGGCCCUGGGGCUCUUCAAACACAUCAAUGUAGGCAUCUAACAAAGUAGUAAGGUGUUGGGACUCACUGUGGUCAUGUGAUGGGAAACUUAUGAGGUAUAUCUCAUCCACUUCUUCUAUGCCCUUGUGUAUCGAAUUGUAAAGGGUUGUAGCAGUGAUUAGUUGACACUCAGUAGUACUUGUGAUAGCCUGCAAUUUCACCCUCUUUCCCUUCAGCUGCACAGUAACUAUCAUUUUGUUGUAAUCUAGCCCAAUAGGAGUGCAAAGCUUUAGCCAAUCCCCUCAUAGGAUUAGAUCAUACCCCUCAUUAGCCAAAAUCCUCGGUGAGAAUGUAAAUUGUUGUCCUUGUACACUCCACUGGAAAUUAGUGGCCGUUUGGGUACUAACCAACUUUUGUCCAUUGUCCACCUUGACUAGGAUGGGUUUCUCACUCUCCAACCUACUUCUCAACUGAUGCAGCCCGAGCAAAGCCAAACUCGCACCAGAACAGAGUUAAACUCAUCAGAGCUGAAUGCGCCAAAACAGAGCCAAGCUCGCCAGAGCUGAAGUCGGAAUGCCAGAGCAGACUUGCAGACUAGAGCAAGCAGAGUAGACUUGAAGAGCAGAGUAGACAUGCAGAGCAGAUUAUAGCAGAGCAGAGCAUACCUGCAGAGCAUAGCAGAGCAGAAUGCCAGAGCAGACUUGCAGAGCAGAGCAUACUUGCAGAGCAGAGCAGACCUGCAGAGCAGAAUGCCAGAGCAGAGCGAACUUCCAGAACAGAGCAGAAUAAGCUUCCAGAGCAGAGCUGAAGUGUAGAGCAGAGCUACCGUUCAGAGCAAAGCUGAAUUGUAGAGCAGAGCAAUUCUGCAGAGCAGAGCAAAUCUGCAGAGCAGAGCUGAGGGUCAGAGCUGAACGUCAGAACUGGAGUUCAGAGCUGGAGUUCAAAGCUGGAGUUCAGAGCUGAAGAUCAACGCUGAAAUUCAGAGUUGGAGUUUCAGAGCUGGAGUUCAGAGCUGCAAGUUUCAGAGCUGGCAUUCUCGCCAGAGUUAUGCUUUUCAUCGCGCCUUUCCUUCAGAGCUGACGCAUACCAGGCCUGCAGCGUACAGAGCUGGUUUCUCACUAGGGUUUUGGCUUGAUGAGCAAGUUUUUGAGUUUCUUUUGUUCACGUUUAUUUCCUUCUUUACAUUAGGGUUUUCUUGUUACAUAUAAAUAUGAAC